This is a non-coding RNA of Xyrichtys novacula (pearly razorfish), 5211 nucleotides long. The record is from the annotation of a GenBank genome assembly. NCBI's taxonomy places the organism in Eukaryota, Metazoa, Chordata, Actinopteri, Labriformes, Labridae.
GGCGAGAAGCCACAUUGGCUGAACUCUGCCCCGGAAAGCCAUGCUGAAUUAACCACCUUCGUGUGUUUUUUUUUUUUUUUCCGUUUUUUUACAUAAACAACCUUCUCAAAUGUAGAAUGGUGACCAAGCACGUCCAGAUUACUGUCAAGGGUUUCUGUUUCAAAGAAGAGGACGACUCUGUAGAAAUCCUCAAUGAGGCUGUGGUUGAGUGGCUUGUCCCACACUAACUAAAAGUUCCCCGAUUCCCUCAGGAAAAUACCAGAAAAAGUGAUUAUUGUUUUUGAAGUAGGAGUUGUAAUUGACAAUUUGUAAAUAUAUUUGUUAAGCUCUUUGUAAAUAGUUAAUCUUUAGAAACUUUAACCACCCAAAAAAUAUUACUUAAAUCAGUUUAAAUGUUUUUUUUUUUGUUUAGUGUCAUUUCAAAUGUUACUUAUGUAACAAUAUUUAAACUAAUUAUUAAAGAAAUGCUCUACUUAAAAUAAAUAAAUGAAUAAAUUAAAAAGGCAUUUUCAUGGAGUGGCUGACCAGGUUUGAAUCGGCGAGCUUGCAGUGCACUUUUUGCGCCGCUGUCGGGCAUGAAAAUAUCACUGUGCCAGUUGAUUGUAUCAACACCUCCCUCUACUACACCUCCCUCUACUCCGCUGCCACGCCCAGCUUGGCACAUCUUGGUGCACCUCAGUCUAUGAAAAUACUAAACUGGCUGUGCACUAGGUGGCACUGCACAGGGUGCACCACCCUGCUCUGCGCCACUGGUGGGCAUGAAAAUAGAGGCCUAAGACUUUCAGGUCGCUUCACACAUUUGGGGACUCUCCUCACCAGAAGGACUAUCCCAAAGUGGCGCUUGUCUCAAAGUUGUUCUCCUUAAUCAAGCUUCUUUGUCCUCACUAACAUUUAUCCUGGCCAUUAGUGGCUGCUGAGUCUUUUGCGUUCUUUCAAACAAUCUGAUGAUCAUUUUUUCUCAUUGUUCAGCCAUGCCAAAACAGAAAGGAAGAGGAUAGUGAUAAGAUCAGGGUUUUAGAUCAUAACCAGGUGGGCUGCAUUUGUUCCUCUUCACACAUCACUCUUCUCUAUCCCCCUGACCCUUGAAUCUCUUCCUCUGCACCAGAUAUGGGGACACAAUGACAACCGGCUGCAGCAGCUGCAAUGCUAAAAAUGCAACUCAAAAUUCCUGAUAGAUUUUUGGUGUCUAUUUCAGAUUUUUCACUCUACUUCAGGAUUUAUCCAACUUCUUUUUCUUUAUCCCUUUAUUCACCCUCCCGCUCCUCAGUAAACCCUGUCUCCUCCUGUCUGUCUGAUUCAUGGUGUCAGUGUCUGUCCUCUCUCCUCUGCAGCUGGGAGGCAAAUAUCAAAUCUUUCCAUUCCCCCUUCCUCCCCCAUCCCUCCACCCCCUCUCUGCCUCACUUAUUUCCUCUGCUGUGAUCCAUAGGUCAAAAGAUACAUCAGUAAUGGGACCAACAAACUAAAGAGUUCAAGCUUAAAUCGUUUUUCUUGGUCUACUUUUCCAGAGAUAUCCUUUGUUCUUUGGCCUGCGCUUGUGAGAGUAGUUGUCUUGUAAAUGCAAUUGUUUGUCUCCUUUUUCUUUAUAUUCCUGGUUCACUGGACAUAAAAUCAAUAAUGCAGCAAAUGACCACAUUAUCUAGUUUCACAUAGCCUGGAGUAAAGAACAGACAUAACGUAACUCAGUAAGAGAGCUAAAUUAAAAUAUGACUAAAGUUCUAACUACAAAAACUUAAACAGGGAAGUGUCAUUCAAAACGGAUUUUUAUUGCUUUGCAUUUAUUUAAACCUUAAGCUAGAUUAAAAAUAGUGCAAAGCCAUCACCUCAAAUGUUUACCUGCAAAGUUACAUUUCAAAGAAGUUUGUAUUGGGACAAAAGAAAACAUUAAAAAACUUAUUUCAUGCUUAAGAAGAAAAAAAACCAUCUAUAAAUAGAUUAGAAACAAGGUUGUGUACAAAAACUGCAUAUGAAACAGCCUCUCAGUGGUAGAGAUGGCAAUAAGUUCAUCACUUUGUGAGAGACCUCAUUGGCAAAGGGGUCAACAGCUUCAUUAUCAAGCUCAUCUGUGAGAAAUUAGAUUCCAAGAUGGGGUUGCAGCAGGGCGCCAGGGUACUUUGCUCUCACGUUUUUUGUGUUUUUGUUUGGCAUUCUGCUCUCCCUCCCAGGUUAUCGUCACCAGAGAGGAACUCUGAAAUAUUGUUUCAUCUUUUUUGGCACUUUUUACGGAUCCAGGAGGUUUGAGAUAACCCUUUACAGGAACCACAUCUAAGCUCAAGGCCUCAAAAAAUUGGUGAACACCUUUGUCACGUAAACUUCCCUUGUCUUUCCAUCUCAUAUGAUCCCUUUUACUGCUGUUCUGAAUUGCAGCAUGAACAAGAAAUGCAACAAAUUUUUAAAAAGUGAACAGUUUCUCUUUUUUUGAAAGCAAACAGCCAGGAGGCUGACAGCAAGCAUUUAUCACACAGAUGAGACUCAGGGGUUCAAAAUUACCCAUGUUCUCUCGCACUCAGCCACUUUAUUUCAUAAAUCUCUUCCUCCCUCAGUCCGGCACCCACACACUUACACAAACACUCAAGCACAGCCACGCUGAGACCAUGACAUGGGAUCAAUUUUAUUUUUAUUUUUAUUCCAAGUCAAUAAAUGAAAAAGGCUUCCAACUGCUGUCCCAAAAUGAACCCCUAUGGCAAUCAGAGAUAAAAAUAAUAGACACACACUUACAACCACACAUCCCAGUUGUAUGUCCUGGCAAACCCACUGUAUCCAAUUAGAGUCAGUGUCUGCUUUGGGCUGACUUCAGUAACACUAAGGCCUCUGCUCUCGCUGUCAUAUUGGUCCCACUGAGCUAGACAAAAUCCAUCAAUAUACCAACUGUUCUGAAUCCACUUUCUGAAACGUCUCCCUGGUCUCUCUUCUCUUCACUCAUUACUUUUCUUGUUUGAACAGUGGAAAGGCUUCUGAAUUGUAGUCAGGAUAUUUCUGAUGAGUGUUAAGAGCCAUAUAAGGUUAUGGGGCUGCAACUUCAGAGGUGAAUAAUGGAAACAGUUCAGGGUGUUAUUAUCAAAUCCCAAAUCCCAGGCCCUGGUUAAAAAAGGAACAUUGACUCUGCACAUGAACCAAGCAGAAAAAAAAAGUAUAUGCAAUUAUAAAACCCAUCAAGAAAAAUGUUGAAGCAAGUAAGCUCCCCAAAUUGAGAUCUAAAAUAAAUUCAUGUCAGAAAUAGUAGCUGUUCAGGGUUUCCCUAUGCACUCCUGUGUCAAUGAAUUGCCUUUUUUACUGCCUCCAGAUUCCAUAGACAAGAUCUACAUCAUCUCAAAGAGUAUAAGAGCUAGUGCAAAGUAUAUCAUCACGUCUAUCUAAGGAUAUUGUAUGAGGCCUUUCUUUGUCACUGAUCCUGAGUAGAAUUGCUCAAGUAUUAGAGGAUUUUUUAAAUGUCUUUAAUGUCUGUUUUGAAGGCCAAGAGGAAGAGGUGACAACAUGCCCCGAAGAAACGAGGCGCCACUUGAUUCCCACUAUGUCAUCCCUUGCCGUUUGCAGUGAAUUUGUCACCCGAGUCUGACACCAGUGUAGCUAUCAUUAGCUAUAGCUAUACCCAUUUGCAUGAUGUAAACACUCAUAACCGAGGGCUAAGGGGUAAGACAAGGGCUAAGGGGUACAAUUGGCAUUGGCCCUUAGACUCCUAACAUGAAACUAACAAUUCUUUACACACUCGUACCGAUUUAACAAUUACAUUUACAGACUGUAAAUACUGUGGUUAUACCUUUUUGGAAAGUCAGCAGUGUGAAGGUCCUGUAAAAUGAGUAAAAAUGAUCAAUAACCCAAAAUAUAUAUACAAAAAACCCUGAACGGUUUCAAUUAAGCCUGAUCCAAUUGGUAUAUUUGGAGAUCUCUCCUCAUGUAGACAUGCUUAACAUUCAUACUGCAGAGAGAUUGCUGCAGGCCACUAUUAAUUAGAAUUUUUACUAACGAAACUUCUCGACCUCAUGAUUGACUUCAACUAAUUUUCAGUCAGCUCCAAGUUUGCUGCAGUAUUUUUAUUAAAAGUCCAAAUAACUUUCAUAUCCCAGUUAAUUUACUGAGUGCAUGGGAGACAGGUCUGUUGAAGACUAAGGUUGUUCCCAUUUUCUCCUCAAUGGUUCCCUAACACAUCCAACAUGCUGUGCAUUUUUCAUACACUUGCUGUAAGAUCCUUUAAGAUUUGUCAUCUUACUUUAAGCAUCCAUGCAAGUACUGUAGCUUAAUAAGACAGUACAUGAACACUCCAAACCUGCACCAAAUCAAAUACACUAUAAAAAUUGAUGCAGCCAAUGUCUAAGUCCAAGUCCAAGUCUGAGUGUCAGUACUUAGGUCCAAGUUGAGCCAAGAGUGCAGAAAGUCUGUUGAUACAAUGUGCCUUUUGGUUAAAGUGAAACAGUGAAUAUCUACUGCAACUUCCAGCUCUAGUUGAAACAGCUGAGAUUUUGUUUAGAGGUGGAUGUUUGUCAGUAUCAUGUAUGAGUAUGUUUGUUAUGACAGUGACCCAAGCUUGCUCCAAGACAACAACAAGAUCAAUGCAUGUAUAAAAACCAAUGGAUCAUUUUCCAAUUCUUUUUUAACAUCACCUUUUACGUGCAAUUGUAAUAAGGUAUUUGGUUUGAGGUAAAUUCAUGUCCAAAGAAAGAGAGCCCUAAAUAAGUUAUGAGCAUAAACUGAGUCAAAUUGUCUUUGUCAUGUUACAUAUCCUGGAUUCAGUGUUGGAAACGCACAAAGACAUUAAAGAAUUAGGACCAUCCAAUUAUGUUGUCCCAUGCCUGCAAAUUCAUACUUAUGUUAUAUAUUAAGAGCUGGGUGAACUGCAUGUGAACUGCAUGUGUCAUAAAUGAAUUAACACAAGUAUGAAGGCUGAGAAAGACACUAAGCUACAGCUUUUCUACCAUUUAUAUUCAAAUGUGAACCAAUUCCUGAGUUUCUCUGCAGUAUGGGCCGACGACUUUGAUUUCAGUUCAAUCUGAAUUGCUAAACCAUCCCUAACUUGAAGCUGAAAAAGUAAAACUCUUAGAGUUACAAUGUGACAUAUUAAAAGGGCUUGGCAGGGUAAAGAUCCCCAUAAAGUCACAGUGUGGUCUCAUAUCUGUCCCCCCGCUAUGUUUCUGUCAAUGUCUGCCUCUCCUUGGUUUCCACUUGUCAGCUCUGGGAAACGGAUUCACGACUGAGAACACAGCAGAGAAAAUGAGUGCA